GGCGGUUUGAUAAGUNUGAAGUUAAAGGCUGUGGCUCANCCAUAGUUCGCUUUGGAAACUGUCAAACUUGAGUGCAGAAGGGGAGAGUGGAAUUCCAUGUGUAGCGGUGAAAUGCGUAGAUAUAUGGAGGAACACCGGUGGCGAAAGCGGCUCUCUGGUCUGUAACUGACGCUGAGGCUCGAAAGCGUGGGGAGCGAACAGGAUUAGAUACCCUGGUAGUCCACGCCGUAAACGAUGAGUGCUAGGUGUUGGAUCCUUUCCGGGAUUCAGUGCCGCAGCUAACGCAUUAAGCACUCCGCCUGGGGAGUACGACCGCAAGGUUGAAACUCAAAGGAAUUGACGGGGGCCCGCACAAGCGGUGGAGCAUGUGGUUUAAUUCGAAGCAACGCGAAGAACCUUACCAGGUCUUGACAUCCCGAUGCUAUUCUUAGAGAUAGGAAGUUACUUCGGUACAUCGGAGACAGGUGGUGCAUGGUUGUCGUCAGCUCGUGUCGUGAGAUGUUGGGUUAAGUCCCGCAACGAGCGCAACCCUUAUUGUUAGUUGCCAUCAUUAAGUUGGGCACUCUAGCGAGACUGCCGGUAAUAAACCGGAGGAAGGUGGGGAUGACGUCAAAUCAUCAUGCCCCUUAUGACCUGGGCUACACACGUGCUACAAUGGUCGGUACAACGAGUUGCGAGCCGGUGACGGCAAGCUAAUCUCUGAAAGCCGAUCUCAGUUCGGAUUGGAGGCUGCAACUCGCCUCCAUGAAGUCGGAAUCGCUAGUAAUCGCGGAUCAGCACGCCGCGGUGAAUACGUUCCCGGGCCUUGUACACACCGCCCGUCACACCACGAGAGUUUGUAACACCCGAAGUCGGUGAGGUAACC
RNAcentral lists this ribosomal RNA (865 nucleotides) under uncultured bacterium. RNAcentral's name for it is "bacterial SSU rRNA". It matches the Rfam family "Bacterial small subunit ribosomal RNA", at positions 574 to 1440 of the family's 1533-position model. The record is from RNAcentral.